GUGGCAUGCGGCAGCUACCAUGCAGUCGAGCGGUAACAGAUCCAGCUUGCUGGAUGCUGACGAGCGGCGGACGGGUGAGUAAUGCAUAGGAAUCUGCCCGAUAGUGGGGGAUAACCUGGGGAAACCCAGGCUAAUACCGCAUACGUCCUACGGGAGAAAGGGGGCUUCGGCUCCCGCUAUCGGAUGAGCCUAUGUCGGAUUAGCUAGUUGGUGAGGUAACGGCUCACCAAGGCCACGAUCCGUAGCUGGUCUGAGAGGAUGAUCAGCCACAUCGGGACUGAGACACGGCCCGAACUCCUACGGGAGGCAGCAGUGGGGAAUAUUGGACAAUGGGGGGAACCCUGAUCCAGCCAUGCCGCGUGUGUGAAGAAGGCCCUCGGGUUGUAAAGCACUUUCAGCGAGGAAGAACGCCUAGCGGUUAAUACCCGCUAGGAAAGACAUCACUCGCAGAAGAAGCACCGGCUAACUCCGUGCCAGCAGCCGCGGUAAUACGGAGGGUGCAAGCGUUAAUCGGAAUUACUGGGCGUAAAGCGCGCGUAGGUGGCUUGAUAAGCCGGUUGUGAAAGCCCCGGGCUCAACCUGGGAACGGCAUCCGGAACUGUCAAGCUAGAGUGCAGGAGAGGAAGGUAGAAUUCCCGGUGUAGCGGUGAAAUGCGUAGAGAUCGGGAGGAAUACCAGUGGCGAAGGCGGCCUUCUGGACUGACACUGACACUGAGGUGCGAAAGCGUGGGUAGCAAACAGGAUUAGAUACUCUGGGGUAGUCAG
Molecule: ribosomal RNA, 765 nt
Filed under: Halomonas sp.
Lineage: Bacteria; Pseudomonadati; Pseudomonadota; Gammaproteobacteria; Oceanospirillales; Halomonadaceae
Description: bacterial SSU rRNA
Rfam family: Bacterial small subunit ribosomal RNA
Source: RNAcentral